CUCUUUCUCGAUUCAGUGGAUGGUGGUGCAUGGCCGUUCUUAGUUGGUGGAGUGAUCUGUCUGGUUAAUUCCGAUAACGAACGAGACUCUCCCCUGCUAACUAGUCGGUUGGAUCUUGAUCAGCGGGUUGCGUGCCGAGUAACUCUCGCUGUGCGGGUGGUGCGUCUCGGGCCUCACGGUUCGUUGCGUGCUCUCGUGUGGCGUUGGAUGCCUUGGAUCACACUGCACCCCAAGUCUGCCGCUUAUGCUAUAACUCUUCUUAGAGGGAUUCACGGCACUGAAGCCGUAAGAGACUGAGAGCAAUAACAGGUCUGUGAUGCCCUUAGAUGCUCUGGGCCGCACGCGCGCUACAAUGCCGGGCACAGCAGGUGUUUCUCCUGCUCCGACAGGAGCGGGUAACCCUCUGAAAGCCAGUGUUCUUGCAAGUGAUUCCUCCCUCGUGGAGUUUCACAGAGGCGUGCUUGGGCCUGGGACUUGCAAUUCUUUCCCACCAACGAGGAAUGCCUAGUAACGGCGGGUCACUGAGCCCGCUGUGACUCAGUCCCUGCCCUUUGUACACACCGCCCGUCGCUACUACCGAUUGGGUGUACCAGUGAGAGCCUUGGACUGGCGUCCGUUGUUGCUCGCAAGAGUGACAAGCGGGUCCGACGGAAAGAGGUCCGAACUGGUGCACUUAGAGGAAGUAAAAGUCGUAACAAGGUUUCCGUAGGUGAACCUGCGGAAGGGAUCA
This 730-nucleotide ribosomal RNA is filed under the name Pseudomicruropus rotundatulus. RNAcentral's name for it is "bacterial SSU rRNA". It matches the Rfam family "Eukaryotic small subunit ribosomal RNA", at positions 1255 to 1828 of the family's 1831-position model. The record is from RNAcentral. Lineage: Eukaryota; Metazoa; Arthropoda; Malacostraca; Amphipoda; Acanthogammaridae.